AGCUUUUGACAUGUCCGGUAUGAUUUCCAGAGAUGGAUUUCUUCAGUUCGGCUGGCCGGAACACAGGUGCUGCAUGGCUGUCGUCAGCUCGUGUCGUGAGAUGUUGGGUUAAGUCCCGCAACGAGCGCAACCCUCGCCCUUAGUUGCCAUCAUUCAGUUGGGCACUCUAAGGGGACUGCCGGUGAUAAGCCGCGAGGAAGGUGGGGAUGACGUCAAGUCCUCAUGGCCCUUACAGG
RNAcentral lists this ribosomal RNA (236 nucleotides) under uncultured bacterium. RNAcentral describes it as "partial 16S ribosomal RNA". It matches the Rfam family "Bacterial small subunit ribosomal RNA", at positions 977 to 1208 of the family's 1533-position model. The record is from RNAcentral.